AGGUAGAGGUGCGGCUGCGAUCAGUACCUGUAUGCGGGAUUACCAGUCCGAUGGCGUACAGCGAAAGGCAAGGCUGCCGAAGAACGGUUUCCGGUAAAUCCCGUUCUGGCUGCUGGUCGAACAGAUCAUCAGCUGUCAUCAUGCUUUAUGGUGGAGAGCUAUCGG
This 165-nucleotide non-coding RNA is filed under the name uncultured Ruminococcus sp. RNAcentral describes it as "Lysine riboswitch". It matches the Rfam family "Lysine riboswitch aptamer". Rfam says of the family: Riboswitches are metabolite binding domains within certain messenger RNAs that serve as precision sensors for their corresponding targets. Allosteric rearrangement of mRNA structure is mediated by ligand binding, and this results in modulation of gene expression. This family includes riboswitches that sense lysine in a number of genes involved in lysine metabolism, including lysC. The record is from RNAcentral. Lineage: Bacteria; Bacillati; Bacillota; Clostridia; Eubacteriales; Oscillospiraceae.